This 332-nucleotide long non-coding RNA is filed under the name Meriones unguiculatus (Mongolian gerbil). RNAcentral describes it as "lncRNA (ENSMUGG00000005245.1)". Lineage: Eukaryota; Metazoa; Chordata; Mammalia; Rodentia; Muridae. The record is from RNAcentral.
GUUUCCUAAUCUUGUUUGCUGACAGCCAAGACGAGGCUUUGAAUGGAAGGUGAACUUGGCAAGUGGGAGACUUGGCCUGAGGGAGCCGUGGGUGCCAGUGUGUUGGUCUGAUGAUCUUCCUUGAUUUCAGGCACUUCUGGAAUACAAACCUUAUUAAAGAUCAGCCCUGUUGCCUGCUUUCCAGUCUAACUCAACAGCUGUGCAGAAUGCCAAGAAACUCAGUCUGGAGUGUGGUGUAGCAUGUACUGCUGCUGGAAAUAGACACAGAAACAAACUUUUUGCCUCCUAUCUGUAGAAAUAAAAAUCUGACCAGGUAUCUAUUGUGUUGAUUC